UCAAGAAUAUUAGUCAAUGCUCGCAAGAGUGAACUAGCUAACUGGAAUCAUGAGUGUGUCACUUGUGAUAAGUUUGGGAAAAAUAAUGAUAUUACCCAUUAUCUUAUAGUGUUGUCCAAAGCUGGUGCCAGAAGACUCGGUAAUGCCAGAGACGCAAGCGUUAAUCAUCUUGAAAAGGCGUAAAGGGUUUGUAGGCAGCUUUAAAAAAAUAAUUAAAGAUAGAAUCAAAUAGAGGUCACUGUGAGAGAACUCCUAGAUUAGGGUUGAUAUCUGUAUAAACUAGGAGGAAUUCUAAUUAGCGAAGGCACUUUUCCAUCUAAUGAUUGACGCUGAUAAACGAAGGGGAGGAUCGACAAUAGGAUUAGAUACCCUGGCAUCCCUCUCUGUAAACGAUGAAUGGUAGUUGCUAGUAAUAAUAAUUAGUGACGAUGCUAACGCGUUAACCAUUCCGCCUUGUGAGUACGACUGCAAAGUUGAAAACAAAAAAAUUAGUCGGUUUCGGAGCAA
Molecule: ribosomal RNA, 507 nt
Filed under: Austrogautieria sp. OSC80140
Lineage: Eukaryota; Fungi; Basidiomycota; Agaricomycetes; Hysterangiales; Gallaceaceae
Description: SSU rRNA
Rfam family: Bacterial small subunit ribosomal RNA
Source: RNAcentral